GCCCCUAUCAUGCAGUCGAGCGAACUGAUUAGAAGCUUGCUUCUAUGACGUUAGCGGCGGACGGGUGAGUAACACGUGGGCAACCUGCCUGUAAGACUGGGAUAACUUCGGGAAACCGAAGCUAAUACCGGAUAGGAUCUUCUCCUUCAUGGGAGAUGAUUGAAAGAUGGUUUCGGCUAUCACUUACAGAUGGGCCCGCGGUGCAUUAGCUAGUUGGUGAGGUAACGGCUCACCAAGGCAACGAUGCAUAGCCGACCUGAGAGGGUGAUCGGCCACACUGGGACUGAGACACGGCCCAGACUCCUACGGGAGGCAGCAGUAGGGAAUCUUCCGCAAUGGACGAAAGUCUGACGGAGCAACGCCGCGUGAGUGAUGAAGGCUUUCGGGUCGUAAAACUCUGUUGUUAGGGAAGAACAAGUACGAGAGUAACUGCUCGUACCUUGACGGUACCUAACCAGAAAGCCACGGCUAACUACGUGCCAGCAGCCGCGGUAAUACGUAGGUGGCAAGCGUUAUCCGGAAUUAUUGGGCGUAAAGCGCGCGCAGGCGGUUUCUUAAGUCUGAUGUGAAAGCCCACGGCUCAACCGUGGAGGGUCAUUGGAAACUGGGGAACUUGAGUGCAGAAGAGAAAAGCGGAAUUCCACGUGUAGCGGUGAAAUGCGUAGAGAUGUGGAGGAACACCAGUGGCGAAGGCGGCUUUUUGGUCUGUAACUGACGCUGAGGCGCGAAAGCGUGGGGAGCAAACAGGAUUAGAUACCCUGGUAGUCCACGCCGUAAACGAUGAGUGCUAAGUGUUAGAGGGUUUCCGCCCUUUAGUGCUGCAGCUAACGCAUUAAGCACUCCGCCUGGGGAGUACGGUCGCAAGACUGAAACUCAAAGGAAUUGACGGGGGCCCGCACAAGCGGUGGAGCAUGUGGUUUAUUUCGAAGCAACGCGAAGAACCUUUACCAGGUCUUGACAUCCUCUGACACUCUAGAGAUAGAGCGUUCCCCUUCGGGGGACAGAGUGACAGGUGGUGCAUGGUUGUCGUCAGCUCGUGUCGUGAGAUGUUGG
Molecule: ribosomal RNA, 1053 nt
Filed under: Bacillus sp. (in: firmicutes)
Lineage: Bacteria; Bacillati; Bacillota; Bacilli; Caryophanales; Bacillaceae
Description: bacterial SSU rRNA
Rfam family: Bacterial small subunit ribosomal RNA
Source: RNAcentral